This is a long non-coding RNA of Papaver somniferum (opium poppy), 497 nucleotides long. RefSeq lists it as uncharacterized. NCBI's taxonomy places the organism in Eukaryota, Viridiplantae, Streptophyta, Magnoliopsida, Ranunculales, Papaveraceae. The record is from RefSeq and is a predicted model, not a curated record. The transcript has 4 exons.
ACUUGAUCGGGAUUGAAGAUUUUUGGAGUUUUUCACUCUCACGGAGAAUAUGAAUUUGAAGAUUCGGGAUAGUACUAGUAUAAUAAUUUUCAGUUGCUGGGAAACAAUAUUCAGAUGAGGUUAUGGAGGUGUUGAUUUCAGAGUAUGAAAGUUCACAGAGAGCUGUAGGAGUGUGAAGUGGUACAGAUGCAGAUUUGGCGUUGGUUUGGAAUGAACUGGUGUUGUUAUUGCUGUGAUAUAGCUCAGGUAAACUUGAUCGGGAUUGAAGAUUUUUGGAGUCUUUCACUCUCACGGAGAAUCCGAAUUUGAAGAUUCAGGAUAGUACUCGUAUAAUAAUUUUCAGUUGCUGGGAAACAACAUUCAGAUGAGGUUAUGGAGGUGUUGAUCUCAGAGUAUGAAAGUUCACAGAGAGAUGUAGGAGUGUGAAGUGGUACAGAUGCAGAUUUGGCGUUGGUUUGGAAUGAACUGGUAUUGUUAUUGUUGUGAUAUAGCUCAGG